CUUAUAUGUCCUGGGCUGCACGCGUGCUACACUGAUGCAUACAACAAGUGCCUAACCAGACAUGGUAUGGCAAUCUCGAAUAUGCAUCGUGAUGGGGAUAGAUCUUUGCAAUUAUAGAUCUUGAACGAGGAAUUCCUAGUAAGUGCAAGUCAUCAUCUUGCAUUGCUUAUGUCCCUGCCCUUUGUACACACCGCCCGUCGCUCCUACCGAUACCGGGUGAUCCGGUGAACCUUUUGGACUCUUUACUGGGAAAGAUAAGUAAACCAUAUCACCUAGAGGAAAGAGAAGUCGUUUCAAGGUUUCCGUAGGUGAACCUGCAGAAGGAUCAAAG
Molecule: ribosomal RNA, 331 nt
Filed under: uncultured rumen Ophryoscolecidae
Lineage: Eukaryota; Ciliophora; Litostomatea; Entodiniomorphida; Ophryoscolecidae
Description: SSU rRNA
Rfam family: Eukaryotic small subunit ribosomal RNA
Source: RNAcentral